AGUGAACGCUGGCGGUAGGCCUAACACAUGCAAGUCGAACGGCAGCACAGGAAGAGCUUGCUCUUACGGGUGGCGAGUGGCGGACGGGUGAGGAAUACAUCGGAAUCUACUUUUUCGUGGGGGAUAACGUAGGGAAACUUACGCUAAUACCGCAUACGACCUACGGGUGAAAGCAGGGGAUCUUCGGACCUUGCGCGAUUGAAUGAGCCGAUGUCGGAUUAGCUAGUUGGCGGGGUAAAGGCCCACCAAGGCGACGAUCCGUAGCUGGUCUGAGAGGAUGAUCGGCCACACUGGAGCUGAGACACGGUCCAGACUCCUACGGGAGGCAGCAGUGGGGAAUAUUGGACAAUGGGCGCAAGCCUGAUCCAGCCAUACCGCGUGGGUGAAGAAGGCCUUCGGGUUGUAAAGCCCUUUUGUUGGGAAAGAAAAGCAGCAGGUUAAUACCCCGCUGUUCUGACGGUACCCAAAGAAUAAGCACCGGCUAACUUCGUG
RNAcentral lists this ribosomal RNA (492 nucleotides) under uncultured bacterium. RNAcentral describes it as "partial 16S ribosomal RNA". It matches the Rfam family "Bacterial small subunit ribosomal RNA", at positions 29 to 507 of the family's 1533-position model. The record is from RNAcentral.